AAUCAAACAACAAAAAUCACCGGAUGUUGGUGUAUUUAUCUGUAAUUUAAAUGGGGUUGCGUCGUCGCCGGCGUUUGUAUUCUUUACCCGUUUCGCCAUUAGUCUUGUUUGGAGUUGUGUUGAUUGUUCUGUGUUCUUCGUUUGUAAAUGGAAAUUCGAAUUCCACGCAAAUACCUAUUACUCCCAUCAAUCACGAUCUCUAUCAUACAAGGGGAGCUUUGUUGGAAGAGAUAGAAUCAUUGGUCCAUAGACACCCAAGCAAGCUCUCUAUGGAGACAUUUUCCACUCAAAACAAAGGGUAUCAUGCAGAGACGACUGUAGUUACUUAUUGCCGGAACAAGAAAGACUGCGAUGACAGGUCAAAGCUUAAGAUCCUUCUUAGUUUUGGGCAGCA
This 394-nucleotide unclassified non-coding RNA is filed under the name Hevea brasiliensis (rubber tree). Lineage: Eukaryota; Viridiplantae; Streptophyta; Magnoliopsida; Malpighiales; Euphorbiaceae. The record is from RNAcentral.